UGGGGGAUAUUGCACAAUGGAGGAAACUCUGAUGCAGCAACGCCGCGUGAAGGAUGAAGGUCUUCGGAUUGUAAACUUUUGUACUUGGGGACGAUAAUGACGGUACCCAAGCAGCAAGCUCCGGCUAACUACGUGCCAGCAGCCGCGGUAAUACGUAGGGAGCAAGCGUUGUCCGGAUUUACUGGGUGUAAAGGGUGCGUAGGCGGCCAUACGAGUCAGUUGUGAAAACUAUGGGCUCAACCCAUAGCCUGCAAUUGAAACUGCGUGGCUUGAGUGAAGUAGAGGUAGGUGGAAUUCCCGGUGUAGCGGUGAAAUGCGUAGAGAUCGGGAGGAACACCAGUGGCGAAGGCGACCUACUGGGCUUUAAGCUGACGCUGAGGCACGAAAGCAUGGGUAGCAAACAGGAUUAGAUACCCUGGUAGUCCAUGCUGUAAACGAUGAUUACUAGGUGUGGG
Molecule: ribosomal RNA, 455 nt
Filed under: uncultured bacterium
Lineage: Bacteria
Description: partial 16S ribosomal RNA
Rfam family: Bacterial small subunit ribosomal RNA
Source: RNAcentral